This 427-nucleotide ribosomal RNA is filed under the name uncultured bacterium. RNAcentral's name for it is "bacterial SSU rRNA". It matches the Rfam family "Bacterial small subunit ribosomal RNA", at positions 355 to 774 of the family's 1533-position model. The record is from RNAcentral.
UGGGGAAUUUUGGACAAUGGGCGAAAGCCUGAUCCAGCAAUGCCGCGUGUGUGAAGAAGGCCUUCGGGUUGUAAAGCACUUUUGUCCGGAAAGAACUCCUCUGGGUUAAUACCUCGGGGGGAUGACGGUACCGGCAGAAUAAGCACCGGCUAACUACGUGCCAGCAGCCGCGGUCAUACGUAGGGUGCAAGCGUUAAUCGGAAUUACUGGGCGUAAAGCGUGCGCAGGCGGUUUUGUAAGACGGAUGUGAAAUCCCCGGGCUUAACCUGGGAACUUCAUUCGAGACUGCAAGGCUAGAGUAGGGCAGAGGGGGGUAGAAUUCCAGGUGUAGCAGUGAAAUGCGUAGAGAUGUGGAGGAAUACCGAUGGCGAAGGCAGCCCCCUGGGCCAAUACUGACGCUCAUGCACGAAAGCGUGGGGAGCAAACA